CAGAUUUAUGUUAGUUCUGUUAGGGCAUCAGCACGUCCCCCUCACAUGGAGGGGCAUUACGGUCAAAUCGAAACUCUUCGUCCAGCAACGAGUGCCCCCUCCCACACCCCACCAACCCAGCCAAUCUCUCUCCCAAACUCUCACCAAAACACUUCAAUUUACCGGAGUUAAUCAAUUUCUUUUGUUUUUGUUUUAAAUUUGGAUUUCAAGUUAAAAUCCAGUUGUAAUUGACUUUUUAAGUUCGGUUCCAAAUCUGGGUUUCCAAAUAUGGGGGCAGAUUGGGGUUGAUUGGGGAUGGAGGUGCGUCGGGGGUGGGAAAGAGAGAGACGAGAGGUGCGUCAGGGUGGGUGGGGGUGUGGGACCCGCGGAGUUCGACCCGUCGGAUGUUCUGGUGGUCGACGACAUUCACAGCUCUUAAUUCACGAUUUCGCCUCCGAGAAGUCGCACAGAGGUGAGGAGCGAUCCAGCAUUUGUUUUCUGGGGUUGAGCCGAGGAGAUCUUGAGGUGAGGCGCGAUUGUUUGGGAGGCAAUGGCUGGAGGCUGACGGGACAGAGGGUGGAGGGUGGGUUAAGGAAGGGAGAAAGGGAGAGUGGGGUCAAAGUUGGAUUGGGGAGAAAUGGAGAAAGAGAUCAAAGCUGUGCAUUCCUUUUUCAAACCCCAUUAGCCAUUCUUCUUCAACUCCUCGAAAUCAAACCAAAGCUGGAUUUUUUUUUCUUUUCUGGGUUUCGUUAAUUUAUUUCUUUAAUUAUUUUGUUUUUCUGGGUUUGAUUAAUUCUUUUUUCUGGGUUUUCUGGUUUAAUUCGUUUUUCUAGGUUCUGUGGUUUUCUGGCUGAGAAGGAGUGAGAGAGAGAGAGGAUGAUUGGUUGAGAAAAGGCUUUGGUGUGAAAGAAGAGGGCUUUGUGUUGUGGGUUUUAUAGCAGAGAGAAAGGUUGAGCUUUUAGGGAAGAAGAGGUUGGAGAAAACACUUUUCCGUGAGAGGAAGCUACAAAUUUCUCAUGGGAAAUGGCGUGAAAGCUUUAAUGGAAAAAGUAUGGAGUUGGUGUGGUGAUGAUGACCAGUAUGAGGUUCAGCAUCCAAAUAGCAAAAAUGAUGGCUUUGGCUUGGAGAAGUAGGCAAUUAUUGAAUCUUGGGAUUUUACCUUAAUGCCCCUCCACUUAUUUAAUAACUAACGGCAAUAGCUGAUGCCCUAACAGAACUAAAAGGAAUCUGACGGAAAUUGAGAAGUGUCCUCGAAUUGCUUGGAUUCUUAAACCACAGUGGCAAAAGUGACGAAAUUGAAACCACAGGGACCUUAGUGGUAAAAGUUGGAAACCACAGGGACUACGACUAUCGUUUUGCC
Molecule: non-coding RNA, 1339 nt
Organism: Prunus avium (sweet cherry)
Lineage: Eukaryota; Viridiplantae; Streptophyta; Magnoliopsida; Rosales; Rosaceae
Source: RefSeq, a predicted model, not a curated record